RNAcentral lists this long non-coding RNA (841 nucleotides) under Apteryx rowi (Okarito brown kiwi). RNAcentral describes it as "lncRNA (ENSARWG00000003696.1)". Lineage: Eukaryota; Metazoa; Chordata; Aves; Apterygiformes; Apterygidae. The record is from RNAcentral.
CGGCCCCGCUCGCCCGGCGUGGGAAGGAAAUGCCACCCUGCGCUGGGAACGAAAGGGCUGGGAGAGCCCGGACGCCUGGGUCCCCUCCUAGCAGGGGAGGUUCAAGCGCAGGGGCCAGGACGCCUGGGCCCCCUCCUCCUCGGAGGCGAGGCGGGGAGGGAGGAAGCCUCUGCUCUGGGAAAAACACUUCCCCUCCAGCGCUCCGGAGCUGUUCCCGGCAGGAAGGAGCUCUGAGGUUAUUUUGGGCCUUGCCGGUUCCUGCCGGAGGGGUUUUGGGGCACGGGGGGACRUGUUUGUAUCCGGCUCCGCUGAGCUCGGAGGAGGGAAGCGCCCCCCCGUCCCGGCUGCGGGAAGGGCUGGGGACGGGGUCUCGGGGGGCUUUGCCACCCGCGCAGCCCCCCCGAUGUCCGUGGGCAGUCGUGCCCGGAGCACCUGGCGCUGCGGGUCGGCUCGGGACGCCGGCGCGGCGAUGCGCCUGGCCGUGCCGCCAUGUCCCACUGCCCAGGGGCUCCCUGGGCCGCCCCGGGGGCUCACGUCCUCCCCCCUCUCUCCCUCUGUGCAGCUGCGGGGCAGAGACGCAGCAAAGCCAUGGUCUGCUCGCGGGAGACCGGCACCCGGAGACUGAGCUGAAGGUGCCGUCRCGGUCGGUGCCAGCCUGCGGCCGCCCGAGGAAGCCAGCGACGGGGACAGAGCUGUGAGCGGGGCCGGGAGAGGGGGGUCCGCGGGCCGGCUCCGGGGCUGGUCCCCAUCGCUGGGCACGUCGGUCACCUGCGCCGUCGCCUUGCCCCAUUGCAGGCGCCGGAGGGGACGCUCCAUGCGGAGCUGAAGCGGCCGCGGCCGA